CUACGGGAGGCACCAGUGGGGAAUUUUGCACAAUGGGGGAAACCCUGAUGCAGCGACGCCGCGUGCGGGAAGAAGGCCUUAGGGUUGUAAACCGCUUUCAAUUGUGAAGAAGGGAUGAGAGUUAAUAGCUUUCUGACUUGACGGUAGCAUUAGAAGAAGCACCGGCUAAUUUCGUGCCAGCAGCCGCGGUAAUACGAAAGGUGCAAGCGUUGUUCGGAUUUACUGGGCGUAAAGAGAUCGUAGGUGGUUUAUUAAGUCGGAUGUGAAAUCCCGGAGCUCAACUUCGGAACUGCAUUCGAUACUGGUAGGCUAGAGUUCGGGAGGGGAAAGCGGAAUUCCGUGUGUAGCAGUGAAAUGCGUAGAUAUACGGAGGAACACCUGAGGCGAAGGCGGCUUUCUGGACCGAUACUGACACUGAGGAUCGAAAGCGUGGGUAGCAAACAGGAUUAGAUACCCCUGUAGUC
RNAcentral lists this ribosomal RNA (464 nucleotides) under uncultured bacterium. Its description in RNAcentral is "partial 16S ribosomal RNA". It matches the Rfam family "Bacterial small subunit ribosomal RNA", at positions 339 to 795 of the family's 1533-position model. The record is from RNAcentral.